Platichthys flesus (European flounder) is the source of this 557-nucleotide long non-coding RNA. RefSeq lists it as uncharacterized. The transcript is spliced from 3 exons. Lineage: Eukaryota; Metazoa; Chordata; Actinopteri; Pleuronectiformes; Pleuronectidae. The record is from RefSeq and is a predicted model, not a curated record.
UCAGUUUAAGAGUUGUGUUAUAUCUUUCGUAGCCCAUUUAGAUCGAUGCAAAAUAUGUGCAUAUUAUAUAGCUUUAAGACUGGGAGCUCUGUUUGUGUGCGUAUUAUCCACGAUGUCAUAGUUUUCAAUAUGUGUGACUAAAGAAAUACAUUGUGAUUCACUGAACAGUAGAGUUUCGGACAAUGGCUGAUGAUCUAAGCGAGAGGAGCAAUAUUAAAGCAGACAUACCUGCAGGGCGCCGAUGGCAGCGCACUGGAAACGCAGGUCAGUCCCGAAGCCCUGAGCAAUCUCCCUUACCAGGCGCUGGAACGGCAGCUUACGGAUCAGCAGCUCAGUGGACCUCUGGUACCGACGGAUCUCUUUUAGAGCUACGGUGCUGGGCCUGAAACACACAACCAUGAUCUAGAUCUGAGGACGUGCUGCAGUACACGGAGAAGUGAACAGCGAUGUACUCUUUCUUGACGUUUUGUCGAUCCAGGACCCAAAAGAUUGAGUUUCAUUGGAUCUGUGCGUUACUCCAAUUUAUGACAAGUUGAAGUGGAUGGUAUUACCUGUAA